This 754-nucleotide ribosomal RNA is filed under the name uncultured Acinetobacter sp. RNAcentral's name for it is "bacterial SSU rRNA". It matches the Rfam family "Bacterial small subunit ribosomal RNA", at positions 28 to 776 of the family's 1533-position model. The record is from RNAcentral. Lineage: Bacteria; Pseudomonadati; Pseudomonadota; Gammaproteobacteria; Moraxellales; Moraxellaceae.
AUUGAACGCUGGCGGCAGGCUUAACACAUGCAAGUCGAGCGGGGAAGGGUAGCUUGCUACCUGACCUAGCGGCGGACGGGUGAGUAAUGCUUAGGAAUCUGCCUAUUAGUGGGGGACAACAUUCCGAAAGGAAUGCUAAUACCGCAUACGCCCUACGGGGGACAGCAGGGGAUCUUCGGACCUUGCGCUAAUAGAUGAGCCUAAGUCAGAUUAGCUAGUUGGUGGGGUAAAGGCCUACCAAGGCGACGAUCCGUAGCGGGUCUGAGAGGAUGAUCCGCCACACUGGGACUGAGACACGGCCCAGACUCCUACGGGAGGCAGCAGUGGGGAAUAUUGGACAAUGGGCGCAAGCCUGAUCCAGCCAUGCCGCGUGUGUGAAGAAGGCCUUUUGGUUGCAAAGCACUUUAAGCGAGGAGGAGGCUACUUGGAUUAAUACUCUAGGAUAGUGGACGUUACUCGCAGAAUAAGCACCGGCUAACUCUGUGCCAGCAGCCGCGGUAAUACAGAGGGUGCGAGCGUUAAUCGGAUUUACUGGGCGUAAAGCGUGCGUAGGCGGCUUUUUAAGUCGGAUGUGAAAUCUCUGAGCUUAACUUAGGAAUUGCAUUCGAUACUGGGAAGCUAGAGUAUGGGAGAGGAUGGUAGAAUUCCAGGUGUAGCGGUGAAAUGCGUAGAGAUCUGGAGGAAUACCGAUGGCGAAGGCAGCCAUCUGGCCUAAUACUGACGCUGAGGUACGAAAGCAUGGGGAGCAAACAGG